This 996-nucleotide unclassified non-coding RNA is filed under the name Nilaparvata lugens (brown planthopper). Its description in RNAcentral is "ubiquitin carboxyl-terminal hydrolase 33-like, transcript variant X3". The record is from RNAcentral. Lineage: Eukaryota; Metazoa; Arthropoda; Insecta; Hemiptera; Delphacidae.
GAUCAAGGUCACAGAUGACAAGCUUGCCAGAAUCACAAGAAAACGUGACAGCCCUGCAACCCGUGAAAGAAGGGAGGGGGCCUUCCACAUUGCCGAUGAGCUUCAACAUUGUAGGCGAUUUCCAAACUAUGGCUAAACAAAUUUAAAAAUUUCGUCGAGCCCGGUGCAGUUGAAAAUGACGAUUUAUUUUGCUUGCUUGCCUCUUGCGUUUACAAGGACCAUAAACAAAUGUCCGUACAAGUUUCAGCUUCUUCAUGGGAUUCCAUUUUGCAAAAAAUGCCAGUCGGAGGGGAAAACCUACGACCUUAUGGCAACUAUAUGCCACAAAGAAGAGAGUCCUAAUAGCAGACAUUACAUUUGCUACGCGUUUAAGGACAAAGAAAAAAUCUGGUUUGAAUAUGAUGACAUACGUGUGAUCAAGGUCACAGAUGACAAGCUUGCCAGAAUCACAAGAAAAUGUGACAGCCCUGCAACCCGUGAAAGAAGGGAGGGGGCCUUCCACAUUGCCGAUGAGCUUCAACAUUGUAUGCGAUUUCCAAACUGUGGCUAAACAAAUUUAAAAAUUUCGUCGAGCCCGGUGCAGUUGAAAACGACGAUUUAUUUUGCUCGCUAGCCUCCUGCGUUUACAAGGACCAUAAACAAAUGUCCGUACAAGUUUCAGCUUCUUCAUGGGAUUUCAUUUUGCAAAAAAUGCCAGUCGGAGGGGAAAACCUACGACCUUAUGGCAACUAUAUGCCACAAAGAAGAGAGUCCUAAUAGCGGACAUUACAUUUGCUACGCGUUUAAGGACAAAGAAAAAAUCUGGUUUGAAUAUGAUGACAAACGUGUGAUCAAGGUCACAGAUGACAAGCUUGCCAGAAUCACAAGAAAACGUGACAGCCCUGCAACCCGUGAAAGAAGGGAGGGGGCCUUCCACAUUGCCGAUGAGCUUCAACAUUGUAGGCGAUUUCCAAACUAUGGCUAAACAAAUUUAAAAAUUUCGUCAAGCCCGGUGCA